RNAcentral lists this ribosomal RNA (422 nucleotides) under uncultured bacterium. Its description in RNAcentral is "bacterial SSU rRNA". It matches the Rfam family "Bacterial small subunit ribosomal RNA", at positions 28 to 439 of the family's 1533-position model. The record is from RNAcentral.
GACGAACGCUGGCGGCAUGCCUAAUACAUGCAAGUCGAGCGAACAGAUGAAGUGCUUGCACUUCUGACGUUAGCGGCGAACGGGUGAGUAACACGUAAGGAAUCUACCUAUAAGCGGGGGAUAACAUUCGGAAACGGGUGCUAAUACCGCAUAAUAUCUUCUUCCGCAUGGAAGAAGAUUGAAAGACGGCUCUGCUGUCACUUAUAGAUGACCUUGCGGUGCAUUAGUUAGUUGGUGGGGUAAUGGCCUACCAAGACGAUGAUGCAUAGCCGACCUGAGAGGGUGAUCGGCCACAUUGGGACUGAGACACGGCCCAAACUCCUACGGGAGGCAGCAGUAGGGAAUCUUCCGCAAUGGGCGAAAGCCUGACGGAGCAAUGCCGCGUGAGUGAAGAAGGCCUUCGGGUCGUAAAACGUACUGUA